GACGAACGCUGGCGGCGUGCCUAAUACAUGCAAGUAGAACGCUGAAGAGAGGAGCUUGCUCUUCUUGGAUGAGUUGCGAACGGGUGAGUAACGCGUAGGUAACCUGCCUUGUAGCGGGGGAUAACUAUUGGAAACGAUAGCUAAUACCGCAUAACAAUGAAUGACACAUGUCAUUUAUUUGAAAGGGGCAAUUGCUCCACUACAAGAUGGACCUGCGUUGUAUUAGCUAGUAGGUGAGGUAACGGCUCACCUAGGCGACGAUACAUAGCCGACCUGAGAGGGUGAUCGGCCACACUGGGACUGAGACACGGCCCAGACUCCUACGGGAGGCAGCAGUAGGGAAUCUUCGGCAAUGGACGGAAGUCUGACCGAGCAACGCCGCGUGAGUGAAGAAGGUUUUCGGAUCGUAAAGCUCUGUUGUAAGAGAAGAACGAGUGUGAGAGUGGAAAGUUCACACUGUGACGGUAUCUUACCAGAAAGGGACGGCUAACUACGUGCCAGCAGCCGCGGUAAUACGUAGGUCCCGAGCGUUGUCCGGAUUUAUUGGGCGUAAAGCGAGCGCAGGCGGUUAGAUAAGUCUGAAGUUAAAGGCUGUGGCUUAACCAUAGUACGCUUUGGAAACUGUUUAACUUGAGUGCAAGAGGGGAGAGUGGAAUUCCAUGUGUAGCGGUGAAAUGCGUAGAUAUAUGGAGGAACACCGGUGGCGAAAGCGGCUCUCUGGCUUGUAACUGACGCUGAGGCUCGAAAGCGUGGGGAGCAAACAGG
This 765-nucleotide ribosomal RNA is filed under the name uncultured Streptococcus sp. RNAcentral describes it as "bacterial SSU rRNA". It matches the Rfam family "Bacterial small subunit ribosomal RNA", at positions 28 to 776 of the family's 1533-position model. The record is from RNAcentral. Lineage: Bacteria; Bacillati; Bacillota; Bacilli; Lactobacillales; Streptococcaceae.